UUGCCUUGUAGCUCAGUUGGUAGAGCAUGAGACUCUUAAAUCUCAGGCUCAUGGCAUCAAGCCCUACGUCGGGCAAA
Podarcis lilfordi (Lilford's wall lizard) is the source of this 77-nucleotide non-coding RNA. Lineage: Eukaryota; Metazoa; Chordata; Lepidosauria; Squamata; Lacertidae. The record is from the annotation of a GenBank genome assembly.